This 438-nucleotide ribosomal RNA is filed under the name uncultured bacterium. RNAcentral's name for it is "bacterial SSU rRNA". It matches the Rfam family "Bacterial small subunit ribosomal RNA", at positions 340 to 786 of the family's 1533-position model. The record is from RNAcentral.
UACGGGAGGCAGCAGUGGGGAAUAUUGCACAAUGGGCGGAAGCCUGAUGCAGCGACGCCGCGUGGGGAUGACGGCCUUCGGGUUGUAAACUCCUUUCGACAGGGACGAAGCUUUUUGUGACGGUACCUGUAUAAGAAGCACCGGCUAACUACGUGCCAGCAGCCGCGGUAAUACGUAGGGUGCGAGCGUUGUCCGGAAUUACUGGGCGUAAAGAGCUCGUAGGUGGUUUGUCGCGUCGUCUGUGAAAUUUCCGGGGCUUAACUCCGGGCGUGCAGGCGAUACGGGCAUAACUUGAGUGCUGUAGGGGAGACUGGAAUUCCUGGUGUAGCGGUGAAAUGCGCAGAUAUCAGGAGGAACACCGGAUGGCGAAGGCAGGUCUCUGGGCAGUUACUGACGCUGAGGAGCGAAAGCAUGGGUAGCGAACAGGGAUUAGAUACC